RNAcentral lists this long non-coding RNA (1310 nucleotides) under Parus major (Great Tit). Its description in RNAcentral is "lncRNA (ENSPMJG00000004740.1)". The record is from RNAcentral. Lineage: Eukaryota; Metazoa; Chordata; Aves; Passeriformes; Paridae.
CGCUGUUCCCGCCCUCGGAGGAGCUGAACGUUCACCUGGAGGCGCUGCCGGCGCUGCCGGUGACCCCGGACGUGCUGGUGACGCCCUCGGAGCUGCGCUUCUUCCUCAAGGACGUCCUGGGCUGUGUCUGUGUCAAUCCCGGCCGUCUGACCAAGGGCCGGGCCGGGGGCACCUACGGGCGGCUGCUGCUGCGGAGAGAGCGGCACCGGGACAGUCCCGGGGAGAAUCCCGGGGAGAAUCCCGGGAAUGAGCCUGGGAACAAUCCUGGGAACAGCCCAGGGAACAAUCCCAGGGAAAAUCCCGGGAACAAUCCCAAUUCCGGGGCCGAGCCCCGGAGCAGCCCCUGCGUGGCCGCCCAGGUGGUGAGGAUCUGAGCUGGCUCCGGCAGGAGCGGGAACUGGGGAGAAAACAUCUGGAAUUGGGAGAAAACAUCUGGAACUGGGGAGAAAACAUCUGGAAUUGGGAGAAAACAUCUGGAAUUGGGGAGAAAACAUCUGGAAUUGGGGAGAAAACAUCUGGAACUGGGGGGAAAACAUCUGGAACUGGGGGAAAACAUCUGGAUAUGGGGGGAAAACAUCUGGAAUUGGGGUGAAAACAAUUCCUGGAAUUGGGGAGAAGACAUCUGGAAUUGGGGAGAAGACAUCUGGAAUUGGGGAGAAAACAUCUGGAAUUGGGGAGAAAACAUCUGGAACUGGGGGAAACAUCUGGAAUUGGGGUGAAAACAUCUGGAACUGGGGUGAAAACAUCUGGAACUGGGGGGAAAACAUCUGGAACUGGGGAGAAAACAUCUGGAACUGGGGAGAAAACAUCUGGAUUUGGGGAGAAACUCCUGGAUUUGGGGUGAAAACAAUUCCUGGAAUUGGGGUGAAAACAUCUGGAAUUUUGGUGAAAACUCCUGGAUUUGGAGAGAAAACUCCUCGAACUGAUGUGGAAACAAUUCCUGGAACUGAGGUGAAAACUCCUGGAAUUUUGGUGAGAACGUCUGGAAUUUUGGUGAGAACUCCUGGAAUUUUGGUGAAAAUUCCUGGAAUUUUGGUGAACCCCCCGAUGUUUCGGCACACGGAGGAAUUUCACCCCUGAGAAAAGGGAAUUUGGGAAUCCAGGCACGGGAUCCUCCCCGUCCUGGCGUCACCCCUCGCCCUCAUUAGAGUUAAUUAGCGCAAAACCAAUUAAUUACGGGCUCCUGGCGCUGCUGCUUCCCAGGAAAACACGAAGCUCCGGCUCUGACCCUUUUCCCAAACUUUUUGCCCCAAAUUUAUGAUGAUGAAGGUGAAAAUAAAUUCAAGUUUUUGUCUCUCCUGGUGUCGUUU